CCCAAAGUGCUGGGAUUACAGGCGUGAGCCACGGUGCCUGGCCAAACAACUUGAUUUCACUUGGUGGUGUGGAACUUCAGCAUGAGUAAUUCCAUGUUGGUCUGGUGUGUUGGCCUCAUUGCAGGAGCUCAGUCCAAACCAAUGACCUCCUAUAAAAUUUUUUAACAGGACAAAUGCUGGCUUGGUGCAUGGCUUGGAGCAGUGGUGCACCUUGCAUUGUCAUCCACGCCCAUGGAAACUGCGAAGAUGGAGUUCUAAUAGAACACAGCCCUUCCUCUGACGUGCACAGGAUAUGAAAAUGUCUGAUAGUGUUGUGGCUGCAGUGAGACCUGGGAGUGGCAGUUUCUUUCACUGCAGUUGUCUGUCCAAAGCGAAGUGAACUAGCAAGUCUCUUACAAAAGGGCAAGCUCUGAACUGCGCACAGUUUCAUAGGUCUCUAAUCGUGGGAAACCUCGUAUGGCAGAAUGCAGGUCCAAAAGUCCUGGACUCUGAUCCAGAUAAACGGAAGUCUCAGGAAGAAAUAAAGAAAUUGGGACACAGAGAAUGUAAAUGGAGAUGCAGUGGAAUCAGACUCCAGAGUUCCCACUCAAAAACUUUUCUCUCUCUCCUAUCUUGUGAGGAAGGACAUUUUAGGUAUUACUUCAUCUAGAAAGGAAUGGCUCUUCAGCGAGGCAAGCAGAACUGGGAAUGCAGAGCCCAGGCAUUUCUCAAAUAAACAAUUUUGUUCAAGUCAAAUGUCCCUUAUAGUGGCCAUUCAAGGCCCAAAUUAUCAUUGGUGAAGUUAUACCACUUAGAGAAAGAAAUAAAAGAAUUAUACAGCAGGAGUUUCUUCUGAAGGAAGAAAGGAUUUAGACUUAAAUGACUCACAAGAGCAGGCAACAGUCAGUUGAAAGCAAUGCUUAUGUACUUUGCAUCUGAGACUCCCACCUGUUGCUUGGCUGCCUCUGAACGCAGACCUGAUGGUCAGCACCUAUACACAGGCAGAAAA
This 988-nucleotide long non-coding RNA is filed under the name Homo sapiens (human). RNAcentral's name for it is "HSALNT0311331". The record is from RNAcentral. Lineage: Eukaryota; Metazoa; Chordata; Mammalia; Primates; Hominidae.